Long non-coding RNA from Astatotilapia calliptera (eastern happy), 743 nucleotides. Lineage: Eukaryota; Metazoa; Chordata; Actinopteri; Cichliformes; Cichlidae. The record is from Ensembl.
GUAAGCUCUUCCCACUGCUUGUACGAAAAAUCACUGAACAAGUUAUUCAAGAGGGAUACUAAAGCAUGUACUGUAGAAUUAUCCCGAUUGGUCUGAACUGUUUCAUCAUUUGUCAUUGUGUUACAGUUUGAGCUUGCCAUUUCACUUUUUUGUUUUUUAUGCCUAAAAUGUUGUUUUGUGUUAAACUCCGUGUUUGAACGUUUAAAGCGCUGCUGUCCCGCUGUAUGAAUGCGUUUCAACUGAACAGCCAGGUCUAUAUAUAAGGUCGGUUUCUUUGUAACGUCACCAGUCAAAGGACUGGCCCGGCUCGUCAUAACGAAAGGGGGCGGGACAAAUCUGUUGCUUAGCAACUGAAAAAAAGGCACACCGCGCUGAAUGCUACAUCCGUCCUGCGACGGUACACCGCCUCCGCACCACCGUUUAAACAUGAAGUGUGGAUGUUAGAAGAUCCCAAAUAUGAAGACGACCAAUCUGCACAUCGAGAAGCUGUCCUGUCUUCAGCUAGGAGUCCUUCUCCAGCUGCUGCACAUGCUAACAGAUACGACAUCUCAUGAGGAGGUUCGAACCCUGUACCCUGACCUUCCCACUGACGCACAAAGUCUGCACAUCCAGAAGCAGGCCCUUCUACGUGAACAACAGCACAACAGUUUCUAUUUCUUUUAAUAUUAGAAGUCAGUUAUUCAUUAAUGAAUACAAAUGGUGACUGAAGUUAUUUAGACAGGACAUUAAACAAUAAACUUCCA